This is a long non-coding RNA of Ictalurus furcatus (blue catfish), 628 nucleotides long. RefSeq lists it as uncharacterized. The transcript has 3 exons. NCBI's taxonomy places the organism in Eukaryota, Metazoa, Chordata, Actinopteri, Siluriformes, Ictaluridae. The record is from RefSeq and is a predicted model, not a curated record.
UCUGAGUGAGAUUGCAGCUCUGCUUACUGUGCCAAUAAAGAAGACAGGAGGUGGGAGGCAUGGCCGACCAUCCGCUACAACUGCUUCUCCGGACUCUGACCUAUAUGCAAUAAUGCACAGGCACUGCGAGGCAAACAGGACAUCUCCAGGGAGCACAGCUGCGCUUUCAGGCUGGAAACAAGGGACAAACUCUGUCACCCCCAAAAAAGCUCAUCCAGACAUCUGUUGCCACCCAGUUUAGCACCAAGACAUCUUACUCUGAACGUCUAUGGUGACACCAUUUGAACGAAGAGGAGCUUUUGAUGUUUAUUCAGUCCAAGGAUACCAAUACCAAGAAAAACCUCUAUGAAGGAGUGAUUCUGAUAUUCCACAUUAUAUGCAAAUUACAAAAGACAGAAGAGGAGCAGCUUUUACAAGCAUGAUCGAAAACCUCAAGUAGUUUACCACAGCAUCACUUUUCAUCAUGAAUUAAAGUUGAUCAGUUAUUCCAGGAUCACUGAAUUUCCAUAGCUAGUGCUUAGAGGUCCCAGAAAACUAUGUUCUUCUUUGGCCAUAUAGUGUCUGUAAUGAAUCUACUUUAUCUAAGGUUUAUGAGGUAGUCUCCAGGUGUGGCAUUCUAGCAGAGGCC